UACAGAGGUGGCAAGCGUUGUUCGGAAUUACUGGGCGUAAAGGGCGCGUAGGCGGUCCGAUAAGUCCCGUGUGAAAUCCCUCGGCUCAACUGAGGAACCGCACGGGAAACUGCCGGGCUUGAGUUCGGGAGAGGGAAGCGGAAUUCCGGGUGUAGCGGUGAAAUGCGUAGAUAUCCGGAGGAACACCGGUGGCGAAGGCGGCUUCCUGGACCGACACUGACGCUGAGGCGCGAAAGCUAGGGGAGCAAACGGGAUUAGAAACCCUCGUAGUCC
Molecule: ribosomal RNA, 273 nt
Filed under: uncultured bacterium
Lineage: Bacteria
Description: partial 16S ribosomal RNA
Rfam family: Bacterial small subunit ribosomal RNA
Source: RNAcentral